AUUUUUUGUUGUGUGAUGGGGGGCUUGGCUCUCUUCAAAAACCAUUGGAUUUUAUAAUAUUUGGUGGCAGAUUUAGACUGUUGUGGUGGUGAGGUUACCUAAUUAAUGCAUGCACAAAUUUACCAUUGUAUCUUUUAGCAACUAUUUUCAUUGUUAUUUCUCUGUUCCAGAAUAUUAUCUAUAGAAAAGAUAGGGAUGUAGCAGGCAUUAGAUUCUUCAUUCACAUGAUUUUGUUGAUUGAAUUUAUUCUUUUUUAUACAUAUUAUCAUCUGGAGAACUUGAGAUACAGAGUACUAUUUUAAAUCUUAAAUGAGAGCUUCACAUGUUACUCUUUCUUCUUUGCCUAUUUUGUUAGGGUAAGUGGGCUUUCUGUUCCUCUUUACCAAAAGAUCUAUUUGUUGGGGUAAAAGAUAAAUUGGGAUUGGAUUAUUGCAAGAGGAGAUUGUCAGAUGUGAUAGAA
This 460-nucleotide unclassified non-coding RNA is filed under the name Hevea brasiliensis (rubber tree). The record is from RNAcentral. Lineage: Eukaryota; Viridiplantae; Streptophyta; Magnoliopsida; Malpighiales; Euphorbiaceae.